UACGGAGGAUGCGAGCGUUAUCCGGAUUUAUUGGGUUUAAAGGGUGCGUAGGCGGGUUAUCAAGUCAGCGGUAAAAUCGUGGAGCUCAACUCCAUCCAGCCGUUGAAACUGAUGAUCUUGAGUGGGCGAGAAGUAUGCGGAAUGCGUGGUGUAGCGGUGAAAUGCAUAGAUAUCACGCAGAACUCCGAUUGCGAAGGCAGCAUACCGGCGCCCUACUGACGCUGAGGCACGAAAGUGUGGGGAGCAAACAGG
RNAcentral lists this ribosomal RNA (252 nucleotides) under uncultured bacterium. RNAcentral describes it as "partial 16S ribosomal RNA". It matches the Rfam family "Bacterial small subunit ribosomal RNA", at positions 524 to 776 of the family's 1533-position model. The record is from RNAcentral.